This 77-nucleotide transfer RNA is filed under the name Tissierellia bacterium. RNAcentral's name for it is "tRNA-Arg". It matches the Rfam family "tRNA". From Rfam's summary of the family: Transfer RNA (tRNA) molecules are approximately 80 nucleotides in length. Their secondary structure includes four short double-helical elements and three loops (D, anti-codon, and T loops). Lineage: Bacteria; Bacillati; Bacillota; Tissierellia. The record is from RNAcentral.
GCGCUCGUAGCUCAGUUGGAUAGAGUAUCAGACUCCGAUUCUGGGGGUCGGGGGUUCGAAUCCCUCCGGGCGCGCCA